This 253-nucleotide ribosomal RNA is filed under the name uncultured bacterium. RNAcentral's name for it is "partial 16S ribosomal RNA". It matches the Rfam family "Bacterial small subunit ribosomal RNA", at positions 524 to 776 of the family's 1533-position model. The record is from RNAcentral.
UACAGAGGGGGCAAGCGUUGUUCGGAAUUACUGGGCGUAAAGGGCGCGUAGGCGGCCUUCUAAGUCGGACGUGAAAUCCCCGGGCUCAACCCGGGAACUGCGUCCGAGACUGGAAGGCUCGAAUCCGGGAGAGGGAUGUGGAAUUCCAGGUGUAGCGGUGAAAUGCGUAGAUAUCUGGAGGAACACCGGUGGCGAAGGCGGCAUCCUGGACCGGUAUUGACGCUGAGGCGCGAAAGCCAGGGGAGCAAACGGG